This is a small nuclear RNA of Mastomys coucha (southern multimammate mouse), 141 nucleotides long. RefSeq annotates it as U4 spliceosomal RNA. The transcript has a single exon. The record is from RefSeq and is a predicted model, not a curated record. Lineage: Eukaryota; Metazoa; Chordata; Mammalia; Rodentia; Muridae.
AGCUUUGCGCAGUGGCAGUAUCAUAGCCAAUGAGGUUUAUCAGAGGCGUGAUUAUUGCUAAUUGAAAACUUUUCCUAAUACAAUAUUAAUACUUUGUUUUCUGAUAGUGUAAAAUUAUAUUUCUUUUUAGUAGCAUUCUGC